This 468-nucleotide ribosomal RNA is filed under the name uncultured bacterium. RNAcentral's name for it is "partial 16S ribosomal RNA". It matches the Rfam family "Bacterial small subunit ribosomal RNA", at positions 28 to 507 of the family's 1533-position model. The record is from RNAcentral.
GACGAACGCUGGCGGCGUGCUUAACACAUGCAAGUCGAACGGAAAGGCCCUGCUUUUGUGGGGUGCUCGAGUGGCGAACGGGUGAGUAAAACGUGAGUAACCUGCCCUUGACUUUGGGAUAACUUCAGGAAACUGGGGCUAAUACCGGAUAGGAGCUCCUGCUGCAUGGUGGGGGUUGGAAAGUUUCGGCGGUUCGGGAUGGACUCGCGGGUUAUCAGCUUGUUGGUGGGGUAGUGGCUUACCAAGGCUUUGACGGGUAGCCGGCCUGAGAGGGUGACCGGCCACAUUGGGCCUGAGAUACGGCCCAGACUCCUACGGGAGGCAGAAGUGGGGAAUAUUGCACAAUGGGCGGAAGCCUGAUGCAGCAACGCCGCGUGCGGGAUGACGGCCUUCGGGUUGUAAACCGCUUUCGCCUGUGACGAAGCGUGAGUGACGGUAAUGGGUAAAGAAGCACCGGCUAACUACGUG